AUUAUUUUUUACCAUCGAUCGUAUGAAUGAGUUAACUUCCAUUUCUAAAAUUGUUAUUUUCUGUGUGCCAAAAUAGCGGAUGACUUAAGUCUCGCAGCGACCAUCGCGAAUCUUCCCGACGUCGAGAAGCAUCACGGCGCGAGUCCUCUCGAGCCAUUGGAUUGAACGACUCUACUCGUAAUGACCGCCGUGAAUGUACAUACAUACUCGAAGUGAGGGAUCAUCACGGCCUGAAUCCUCCCGAGCUAUUCACCCAAAAUUCAACCGCCGAGGGACGCGUGCUGGCGUAAGUGUCCAUACCAGCACUAUAAGCACAGGAGGGCGGAAUAUUAUCGAAAACGUGCGGUAGCCGAUAAUUUUGCACUAUUGCUGCAUAGUAUGUUCGCUAAGAAGAAAUAUUGAAGGGAUCAUAAACAAAAAAUUUGAGGAGGGCUGCAAAGAAACAAAAAAAAAUUGGUGAAUAACGGACACCCUAUUGCAUAUGGUGUGUUGGAAAUUGAUUGAAAUUUGUUAUUUUCGUAUUUCAGACGCACUGACAACAUUUAUUUCUCCGGCU
Molecule: long non-coding RNA, 556 nt
Organism: Diprion similis
Lineage: Eukaryota; Metazoa; Arthropoda; Insecta; Hymenoptera; Diprionidae
Exons: 4
Source: RefSeq, a predicted model, not a curated record